Molecule: non-coding RNA, 64 nt
Organism: Cavia porcellus (domestic guinea pig)
Lineage: Eukaryota; Metazoa; Chordata; Mammalia; Rodentia; Caviidae
Source: Rfam
GGGGAUUUAGCUCAGCGGCAUAAGCGCCUGCCUUGCAAGCAGGCAGUCUUGAGUUUGAUCCCCG